UGAUAUAUUAAUUUUGGAAAUGAAAAGAAUACUUCUUCGUUAAAGUUAUGACUUUAAGCAUUCUAUAACGAUAUAAUGUAUAUGGGAGACAUAGUCUAUAAACAUGGGAUGGAAAUCUAUAAUGAUAGAUUUUAGGAUAUAAUUGGAUUAUAUCAAGCCCUAAAUAAUAGACAAGAGUUGCUAGGAAGUUUCUCAUAUGAUGAUAAACUUCAAUUAGAAGGAUGACUCUAGUGUGACUAGCAAGUUGCCCUUCUCAAAGGGAACGUACCCUUUGACUCCCAAAGAAAUAAUGCGUAAAUAGAAUCCUUUAUGCAUACGCAUAAAGGUGAUUUAUGUAUUUCAUAUUGUAUGAAAAAAACAUUGAUAUGAGUUGUACCUAGAACGGUACAAGACGAUAUCAGUGCAAGCCCAGGAUCAGAACCAUGGCAACUGUCAAGUGAGUCCUUAAGUAUUUAAGAAAUACUAAAGGAAAGAUUCCUCAAAGAAUGAGGAAGAAUUAGAGUAACGUAAUGGAAGCGUAAAUGUAUUAGAUUAUGAAUCUAAUCCAUCAUUGCAUGUUUCUUCAUUAUGAAUGAAGAGAUAAACAUAUAUCUCUUUAUUAUGACUAAAGAGAUAUUUGGAUGGAAACAUUAAAGUAAUGACUUUAGUAUGUUCCAUUAUGAAUGCAAGGUAUAUUGCCAUAUAGAAGUUUGCAACAAUGUUUGUUUGGAUGGGAAAGUUCAUUUAUGAACUCUCUAUUCGGUUUCCAACCAGAAAGUGUAUCUAGUGUAUCGACACUAUGACACUAAUGGGGCGAUAGCUCAAGCCAGGGAAUCAAGGUCUCAUCAAGGUCCGAACUUAAAUGAGAGACUGAACCACAUGAUUGAGAAUCAUGUAUAAUGGUGACGUCGAUAUUCUCAAGGUUGCUUCUAUGGAUAACAUAUAGAUAUCCAUUGUCUAGGCCUACUACUCAGCCAUUUAUGAAAUGACUACAGAAGAGGUAUCAUCACUGAUGACCAAGCUGAUUGGCUCUAGUGCAAGUGGGAGAUUGUUGGAAAUGUGACCUAAAACCAAUCAUGUGAUGAUGCUUUACGGACAUUUCACAUGUUAAACUAAUCUAGUUUAAUAUAAAGGGCAAAGAUUAUUGUUUGAGCCGUCUCAUAUAAAUGUUAUAUGUUUAAACGAUAAAGUCCAAGGAAUAUGUGAUUGGGAGAAUGUAAUCUAAUGAAGUUAGAUU
RNAcentral lists this long non-coding RNA (1216 nucleotides) under Malus domestica (apple). RNAcentral describes it as "long non-coding RNA (MDOM_LNC020889)". The record is from RNAcentral. Lineage: Eukaryota; Viridiplantae; Streptophyta; Magnoliopsida; Rosales; Rosaceae.